GAUCCUGGCUCAGAUUGAACGCUGGCGGCGUGCUUAACACAUGCAAGUCGUACGCGAAAGGGACUUCGGUCCCGAGUAAAGUGGCGCACGGGUGAGUAACACGUGGAUGAUCUGCCUCUAUGAUGGGGAUAACAGUUGGAAACGACUGCUAAUACCGAAUACGCUCAUGAUGAACGUUGUGAGGAAAGGUGGCCUCUGCUUGCAAGCUGUCGCAUAGAG
This 219-nucleotide ribosomal RNA is filed under the name uncultured bacterium. RNAcentral describes it as "partial 16S ribosomal RNA". It matches the Rfam family "Bacterial small subunit ribosomal RNA", at positions 15 to 224 of the family's 1533-position model. The record is from RNAcentral.